GAUCAUGGCUCAGGAUGAACGCUGGCGGCGUGCCUAACACAUGCAAGUCGAGCGGAGAUAAGUUGAAGCCUAGCGAUUCUUAUCGUUAGCGGCGGAUGGGUGAGUAACACGUGGGUAACCUGCCCUGUACUGGGGGAUAACAGCUGGAAACGGCUGUUAAUACCGCAUAUGCGCACGGAGCCGCAUGGCCCUGGGCGGAAAGAUUCAUCGGUACAGGAUGGGCCCGCGCCGGAUUAACUUGUUGGCGGGGUAACGGCCCACCAAGGUGAUGAUCCGUAGCCGACCUGAGAGGGUGACCGGCCACAUUGGGACUGAGACACGGCCCAAACUCCUACGGGAGGCAGCAGUGGGGGAUAUUGCACAAUGGGGGAAACCCUGAUUGCAGCGACGCCGCGUGAAGGAAGAAGUAUUUCGGUAUGUAAACUUCUAUCAGCGGGGAAGAAGAUGACGGUACCCGCACAAGAAGCCCCGGCUAACUACGUGCCAGCAGCUGC
Molecule: ribosomal RNA, 494 nt
Filed under: uncultured bacterium
Lineage: Bacteria
Description: bacterial SSU rRNA
Rfam family: Bacterial small subunit ribosomal RNA
Source: RNAcentral